CUGUGAGCUCGAUGAGUAGGGCGGGACACGUGGUAUCCUGUCUGAAUAUGGGGGGACCAUCCUCCAAGGCUAAAUACUCCUGACUGACCGAUAGUGAACCAGUACCGUGAGGGAAAGGCGAAAAGAACCCCGGCGAGGGGAGUGAAAAAGAACCUGAAACCGUGUACGUACAAGCAGUGGGAGCACGCUUAGGCGUGUGACUGCGUACCUUUUGUAUAAUGGGUCAGCGACUUAUAUUCUGUAGCAAGGUUAACCGAAUAGGGGAGCCGAAGGGAAACCGAGUCUUAACUGGGCGUUAAGUUGCAGGGUAUAGACCCGAAACCCGGUGAUCUAGCCAUGGGCAGGUUGAAGGUUGGGUAACACUAACUGGAGGACCGAACCGACUAAUGUUGAAAAAUUAGCGGAUGACUUGUGGCUGGGGGUGAAAGGCCAAUCAAACCGGGAGAUAGCUGGUUCUCCCCGAAAGCUAUUUAGGUAGCGCCUCGUGAAUUCAUCUCCGGGGGUAGAGCACUGUUUCGGCAAGGGGGUCAUCCCGACUUACCAACCCGAUGCAAACUGCGAAUACCGGAGAAUGUUAUCACGGGAGACACACGGCGGGUGCUAACGUCCGUCGUGAAGAGGGAAACAACCCAGACCGCCAGCUAAGGUCCCAAAGUCAUGGUUAAGUGGGAAACGAUGUGGGAAGGCCCAGACAGCCAGGAUGUUGGCUUAGAAGCAGCCAUCAUUUAAAGAAAGCGUAAUAGCUCACUGGUCGAGUCGGCCUGCGCGGAAGAUGUAACGGGGCUAAACCAUGCACCGAAGCUGCGGCAGCGACGCUUAUGCGUUGUUGGGUAGGGGAGCGUUCUGUAAGCCUGCGAAGGUGUGCUGUGAGGCAUGCUGGAGGUAUCAGAAGUGCGAAUGCUGACAUAAGUAACGAUAAAGCGGGUGAAAAGCCCGCUCGCCGGAAGACCAAGGGUUCCUGUCCAACGUUAAUCGGGGCAGGGUGAGUCGACCCCUAAGGCGAGGCCGAAAGGCGUAGUCGAUGGGAAACAGGUUAAUAUUCCUGUACUUGGUGUUACUGCGAAGGGGGGACGGAGAAGGCUAUGUUGGCCGGGCGACGGUUGUCCCGGUUUAAGCGUGUAGGCUGGUUUUCCAGGCAAAUCCGGAAAAUCAAGGCUGAGGCGUGAUGACGAGGCACUACGGUGCUGAAGCAACAAAUGCCCUGCUUCCAGGAAAAGCCUCUAAGCAUCAGGUAACAUCAAAUCGUACCCCAAACCGACACAGGUGGUCAGGUAGAGAAUACCAAGGCGCUUGAGAGAACUCGGGUGAAGGAACUAGGCAAAAUGGUGCCGUAACUUCGGGAGAAGGCACGCUGAUAUGUAGGUGAAGUCCCUCGCGGAUGGAGCUGAAAUCAGUCGAAGAUACCAGCUGGCUGCAACUGUUUAUUAAAAACACAGCACUGUGCAAACACGAAAGUGGACGUAUACGGUGUGACGCCUGCCCGGUGCCGGAAGGUUAAUUGAUGGGGUCAGCGCAAGCGAAGCUCUUGAUCGAAGCCCCGGUAAACGGCGGCCGUAACUAUAACGGUCCUAAGGUAGCGAAAUUCCUUGUCGGGUAAGUUCCGACCUGCACGAAUGGCGUAAUGAUGGCCAGGCUGUCUCCACCCGAGACUCAGUGAAAUUGAACUCGCUGUGAAGAUGCAGUGUACCCGCGGCAAGACGGAAAGACCCCGUGAACCUUUACUAUAGCUUGACACUGAACAUUGAGCCUUGAUGUGUAGGAUAGGUGGGAGGCUUUGAAGUGUGGACGCCAGUCUGCAUGGAGCCGACCUUGAAAUACCACCCUUUAAUGUUUGAUGUUCUAACGU
This 1846-nucleotide ribosomal RNA is filed under the name Escherichia coli. Its description in RNAcentral is "partial 23S ribosomal RNA". It matches the Rfam family "Bacterial large subunit ribosomal RNA", at positions 397 to 2228 of the family's 2925-position model. The record is from RNAcentral. Lineage: Bacteria; Pseudomonadati; Pseudomonadota; Gammaproteobacteria; Enterobacterales; Enterobacteriaceae.